This 440-nucleotide ribosomal RNA is filed under the name uncultured bacterium. Its description in RNAcentral is "partial 16S ribosomal RNA". It matches the Rfam family "Bacterial small subunit ribosomal RNA", at positions 338 to 795 of the family's 1533-position model. The record is from RNAcentral.
CCUACGGGCGUCAGCAGUGGGGAAUAUUGCACAAUGGGGGAAACCCUGAUGCAGCGACGCCGCGUGCUUGAAGAAGUAUUUCGGUACGUAAAGCUCUAUCAGCAGGGAAGAAAAUGACGGUACCUGACUAAGAAGCCCCUUCUAACUACGUGCCAGCAGCCGCGGUAAUACGUAGGGGGCAAGCGUUAUCCGGAUUUACUGGGUGUAAAAGGGGCGUAGACGGCAGCUCGAGUCUGGAGUGAAAUCCCAUGGCUGAACCAUGGAACUGUUUUUGAAACUGUGCAGCUGGAGUGCAGGAGAGGUAAGCGGAAUUCCUAGUGUAGAGGUGAAAUGCGUAGAUAUUAGGAGGAACACCAGUGGCGAAGGCGGCUUACUGGACUGUAACUGACGUUGAUGCUCGAAAGCGUGGGGAGCAAACAGGAUUAGAUACCCGGGUAGUC